RNAcentral lists this long non-coding RNA (432 nucleotides) under Rattus norvegicus (Norway rat). RNAcentral describes it as "long non-coding RNA NONRATT018431". Lineage: Eukaryota; Metazoa; Chordata; Mammalia; Rodentia; Muridae. The record is from RNAcentral.
GGGUCCCCGCCUCCCUGCCCCCUCCUUCUCCGGGUUUCUCAGGAAGGUGGCGGCGGGGGUGCCGGGGGAGAGGUUGUCUGCGAAAGCCCGCGGCUAAAGCCCCGGGGCAAGGGAUGGGGGUGGGGCCGGGGAGUCGGAGAUCUGUUUACUAGAAAGUCCCAGGGUCGUGCGCGGCAGCUGCCCCGGCCUAGGCCCGGGUGCAUUGUGUUGGCCCGAGCCCCGUGCGCCCGCGGCGGCCCCGGGCCAGGUGCAGUGGCCGGACGGCUCCGUGCAGCUUUGUGCUCCGGUCGCUCGCGCGCAUAGCGCUCCAGCGCGGAGCUCUCCGCCGGCCCCCGCGCCCGGACCUUACUCUCCGGUCUCGGCGACCGCUGCCUGCCGAGCGAGAGGGCUGGGAGGCGGGGUACGGCAGCGUGGAAAAGUAACCGCGGCCGC